UUCUAGUUUUAAUAACUAACCACCAACUUCUUUUAUUAAACAAAAACCAAUACAAAAUUAAAAACUAACUUCAUCAAAAACCAAGUCUCUAAGCAAUGGAUGUCUUGGCUCCUCACACGAUGAAGAACGUGGCAUAAUGUGUUAAGUAACCGGAGUUGCAAACAUCAUGACAGGUUAAUCUUUGAAUGCAAAUUGCGCUAAACUCGAUCUCGGUCGAGAAGCAUGGGUGUGACAGUACUACAUCUUUUAUAAUAAUUCUUAUUCUAAGCGAAUAAGUAAAUAAUAUAUAAGACAAACAACACGUAGUCUGCCAUACGCAGGAAGACCCGCUGAACUGAAGCAUCUCAUUAAGCGG
This 355-nucleotide ribosomal RNA is filed under the name Trichomonas vaginalis G3. RNAcentral describes it as "5.8S ribosomal RNA". The stretch from base 85 to 240 matches the Rfam family "5.8S ribosomal RNA". Lineage: Eukaryota; Parabasalia; Trichomonadida; Trichomonadidae. The record is from RNAcentral.